CAGCCGCCGCGGGAAUACAGAGGAUGCAAGCGUUAUCCGGAAUGAUUGGGCGUAAAGCGUCUGUAGGUGGCUUUUCAAGUCCGCCGUCAAAUCCCAGGGCUCAACCCUGGACAGGCGGUGGAAACUACCAAGCUGGAGUACGGUAGGGGCAGAGGGAAUUUCCAGUGGAGCGGUGAAAUGCGUUGAGAUCGAAAAGAACACCAACAGCGAAAGCACUCUGCUGGGACGACACUGACACUAAGAGACGAAAGCUAGGGGAGCAAAUGGGAUUAGAUACCCCCGUAGUCCCUGUCUCUUUUAC
RNAcentral lists this ribosomal RNA (301 nucleotides) under uncultured bacterium. Its description in RNAcentral is "partial 16S ribosomal RNA". It matches the Rfam family "Bacterial small subunit ribosomal RNA", at positions 509 to 807 of the family's 1533-position model. The record is from RNAcentral.